This 298-nucleotide ribosomal RNA is filed under the name Vibrio parahaemolyticus 3631. Its description in RNAcentral is "partial 23S ribosomal RNA". It matches the Rfam family "Bacterial large subunit ribosomal RNA", at positions 1 to 293 of the family's 2925-position model. Lineage: Bacteria; Pseudomonadati; Pseudomonadota; Gammaproteobacteria; Vibrionales; Vibrionaceae. The record is from RNAcentral.
GUUGUAUGGUUAAGUGACUAAGCGUACACGGUGGAUGCCUUGGCAGUCAGAGGCGAUGAAAGACGUAGUAACUUGCGAUAAGCCCAGAUUAGGUAGUAACAACCAUUUGAGUCUGGGAUUUCUGAAUGGGGAAACCCACUAGCAUAAGCUAGUAUCGCUGCGUGAAUACAUAGCGCAGCGAGGCGAACCGGGGGAACUGAAACAUCUAAGUACCCCGAGGAAAAGAAAUCAACCGAGAUUCCGAAAGUAGCGGCGAGCGAAAUUGGACUAGCCCUUAAGCUUUACACGCGUUAGACGA